RNAcentral lists this transfer RNA (72 nucleotides) under Toxocara canis (dog roundworm). It matches the Rfam family "tRNA". From Rfam's summary of the family: Transfer RNA (tRNA) molecules are approximately 80 nucleotides in length. Their secondary structure includes four short double-helical elements and three loops (D, anti-codon, and T loops). Further hydrogen bonds mediate the characteristic L-shaped molecular structure. tRNAs have two regions of fundamental functional importance: the anti-codon, which is responsible for specific mRNA codon recognition, and the 3' end, to which the tRNAs corresponding amino acid is attached (by aminoacyl-tRNA synthetases). tRNAs cope with the degeneracy of the genetic code in two manners: having more than one tRNA (with a specific anti-codon) for a particular amino acid; and 'wobble' base-pairing, i.e. permitting non-standard base-pairing at the 3rd anti-codon position. The record is from Rfam by way of RNAcentral. Lineage: Eukaryota; Metazoa; Nematoda; Chromadorea; Rhabditida; Toxocaridae.
GCGGCAGUAUCUUAGUGGUACAGCUCCCGCUUCGUAUCCGGGAAGAUCUGGAUUCGAUUCCCGGCUGCUUCC